GAGAAAAGGCCAGCCCUAAUGGCACCCUGGGAAGGGCCGACCCCAGCCUCCCCCUCGCAGGGCCUGCAGGGCCUCCUCACCUUGAAGAGUUCAAAGAGCAUGUGGUAGAGGUGGGAGGGGACGAGACCAUAUGAAUGGGCUGUCUGCGCUGCUCACCAUUGACCUCCUGGAUCUCCAGGUUGGGCGGAGCCAUGUAGUACUUGUCACACAGGAGCUUGGCCAUGUCAUAGGCAUCUGAGAGGAGACAGCUCUCAGGGCACGGAGAGGGGUGCGCCCCCAGCAGGUGCCCCCAGCAGUGACACUGGCUAUGGCCAACAUCAAGCCCCUGGGGGUGUGGCCCCACCACUGGGGUGGCCCACCCUCUCCGGCCAGGGCAGCGUGGGGCUCCUCCUCUGUGGGGCACAGCGGGAAGGGUGCUCACCUUUCACCACCUCGGACGCGUUGCAGUUGGGGUCGAUGCUGCACGAUAAUGUGCUUGGGGUGGGCCGGGUUUGUGCUGCCUUGCAAAAAUGAGGGCUACGGGGACAAAGUGGGUGCUGCUGGCUGGGGCACAGCUGUCCCUGCACCCCUUUUCCCAGGCUGCCCUCCAGCUCCCUUCCUAAUGUGGCACAGCCUUCAGUCCUGCCGGCCAUCACUGGCUCAGGCCGUCUGGGGCCUUUGCGGGCUUGAGUAUACUGCUUUUUAAUUUAGGUUUGGCUUUGUUGUUUUAUACUGGGGAUUGACCCAGGGUCUUCAUAGUUAGCUACACCCCAAGACCAUUUUUAUUUUUAGUUCUGAGACAGGAGGUCACUAAGUCACUGAGUUGUCCAGGCUGGGCUUGAACUUUCGAUCCUCCUGCCUCAGCCUCCCAGAGUGUGGGAUAAUAGGCACUGCACAGUUUUAUCACUCUUAAAAACUUUUUUUUUUUUUGGUACCAGGGAUCAAACUCAGGUCCUUGCGCUUAGGAGGCAGGCGGCAAAACCUGAGCUAAAUCCCCUGAGCUAAAUCCCGACCCCUUAAAAAACUUAUUACAUUCCAAACAUUUGUUAUUUAGUUUCUCUUCCCAGGAGGAUUCGCUGUGAUUAUUGACAAAUCACAGCCAUCAUAAAGUGAGUUCUUUGGGCCAGGGAUUUAGCUCAGUGGUUUCACUGCCUGUUGUUAAGCGCAAGGACCCAAGUUCAAUCCCCGGUACCAAAAAAAACCAAAAACGUGAGUUCUUCCUGCUCAAAUAACUCCAAAGGAAGACAUUUGGAGGUCAUGACUCUGUGAGAGCAAGUGACAGGGGUCCUGAGCAGCCGCCCCCUGACCCCGCCUCACUGUGCUGGUUGAUGAGCAUGCGGAUGGAGAUGCGGCUAAGGUAGAAGCGGUCCAGGAAGUACUGGAUGUUCUGGUUGGAGACAGGGUCGUCACCGUAGGUGUCCUUGUACUCCAGCACGCCCUGGGCCAUGGUGGGCACCACAUCGUUGUGCCUGUUCCGGAUGGUGACCAGGGCCUCUGUGAACCUGCAGGGAGGGCAGACAUUCACUCGGCCAGGCCCCAGCCCCGACUCUUCCAGUUGUUUUGUUUUCCUUACUGGAGAUUGAACCCAGGGCCUUCGCCCUGAGCUACAGUGCUUGGUUGCCCCUGCUCUGCCCCAGGGCUGCGACCCCUGUUGCCUUCCUGCCCGCCAAGGCCUCACUCACUGACUCAGGGUGCGGUGGUCCUCAGGGUCCUUGUCCAGGAACUCCAUGAUGUCCAGCAGACUCUGCACGUACCUGGCAGGGCAGGGAGGGGAUUCGGGCUCAGCUGUGUGAUGGGCCACAGUCCUCAUUGCCCCUUGCUGGACCUCACUGUGUUCUGUUCCCACUGUGGGUGACACACGGAACUGGGCCUGGUGACAGCUGCGCCAUGCUCUCCCCCGGCUGUGUC
RNAcentral lists this long non-coding RNA (1887 nucleotides) under Heterocephalus glaber (naked mole-rat). RNAcentral's name for it is "lncRNA (ENSHGLG00100050520.1)". The record is from RNAcentral. Lineage: Eukaryota; Metazoa; Chordata; Mammalia; Rodentia; Bathyergidae.